GGUGGCGUAGCUCAGCUGGCAGAGCAGUGGAAUCAUAAUCCACGGGUCAGGGGUUCGACUCCCUUCGCCACCA
This 73-nucleotide transfer RNA is filed under the name Pseudomonadota bacterium. RNAcentral's name for it is "tRNA-Met". It matches the Rfam family "tRNA". Rfam says of the family: Transfer RNA (tRNA) molecules are approximately 80 nucleotides in length. The record is from RNAcentral. RNAcentral also lists the same sequence under 1 other name. Lineage: Bacteria; Pseudomonadati; Pseudomonadota.